Molecule: long non-coding RNA, 374 nt
Filed under: Monodelphis domestica (gray short-tailed opossum)
Lineage: Eukaryota; Metazoa; Chordata; Mammalia; Didelphimorphia; Didelphidae
Description: lncRNA (ENSMODG00000040072.1)
Source: RNAcentral
CUAAAUUGGAGAAGUUACUAAGCCAAACAUUUGUGUGUCUUGGGAUUUUUCUUCUAGCUUAUGGGAGUCUCAGAACCUAGCUUCUGGCUUCAACAGAUGGAGUGUCUCAAUGCUUGUUUGCACAGUGGGGGAACUUGCUAUUUGACUGUACAGGGAAGGGCAUUGGGAGUAUCCUGGACCAAUUUAGGCUGCCUGCUCCUCACUGAGAUUCCCACCCACCCAGAAAAACACAUCUUAUGCUGCUGAUUCUCAUAGAUAUUCUGGAUUGGAAAACAAUUUCACUGCUGCAAAAUUUGGUCCUGUCUUUUUAUCAGGAUUGCCUGGAAGCCCUUUAUUUCAAUAAAUAUUACACACCCCUCCCCUUAAGGAUUAUA